Molecule: ribosomal RNA, 506 nt
Filed under: uncultured bacterium
Lineage: Bacteria
Description: partial 16S ribosomal RNA
Rfam family: Bacterial small subunit ribosomal RNA
Source: RNAcentral
GAUGAACGCUAGCUACAGGCUUAACACAUGCAAGUCGAGGGGUAACGAGAGGGAAGCUUGCUUUCCUUGUCGACGACCGGCGCACGGGUGAGUAACGCGUAUCCAACCUGCCCCCAACUAGGGAAUAACCUUGCGAAAGUAAGACUAAUACCCUAUAAUUUCCUCAGAUGCCAUCUGACGAGGAAUAAAGAUUUAUGGGUUCUGGAUGGGGAUGCGUCUGAUUAGCUUGUUGGCGGGGGAACGGACCACCAAGGCAACGAUCGGUAGGGGUUCUGAGAGGAAGGUCCCCCACAUUGGAACUGAGACACGGUCCAAACUCCUACGGGAGGCAGCAGUGAGGAAUAUUGGUCAAUGGGCGGAAGCCUGAACCAGCCAAGUAGCGUGCAGGAUGACGGCCCUAUGGGUUGUAAACUGCUUUUAUACAGGAAUAAAGUUAGCCACGUGUGGUUAUUUGUAGGUACUGUAUGAAUAAGGACCGGCUAAUUCCGUGCCAGCAGCCGCCGUAA